Molecule: non-coding RNA, 3140 nt
Organism: Physcomitrium patens
Lineage: Eukaryota; Viridiplantae; Streptophyta; Bryopsida; Funariales; Funariaceae
Source: RefSeq, a predicted model, not a curated record
UAAUAUAUAUAAGAGGUAGAUAUUAUGUAUAACCACCUAUUAGGUGGUUUUAUCAAAUUCGAUACAAGUGCUUACAUCCUUCAAAAUCAGUGUUGAAAUCAGGAAUUAUGAUUUCCACCUUUGUGUUUUUUAAAGUUUGAGUCCCCUAUAUUGUCUUGUUCAAUUUCUCAAAUCCUAGCUCCGUGGAAAAUGUCGCGGAGCUGAGAUGCACAUAGCUUUUUGUAGGGAGCAGAAAGAGCGGCGUCCCUCUACGGUUCUUUUGACCGCUUUGCGUGAUGUUCUGGCUUCUUGUCGACGGCAUGAUGCUGCUCAACGACAUACUUCCCAUUUCGGCAGGGCCGCUGCGGCUUUUUGAUUCCACCAUGAGAGUAGGUAUUUGAAGAAAGCGUUCAUGAAUUUGAACGAAAUGUUCACUUCAACCAAGUGUGAAGAUAGUGGGAUUGGAUAAACCCUGAAGAGUUUUUGAUGCAGGAGAAAGAUUUAGCAUCCGCCUCUCAAGCGAGUGCUGCUGUGUUUGCAGAUAUAUGUCAUAUUCUACUUUUGAUUAUUACUGCACCUAGUAGAGACAGGCUCUGCAAUCGUAGUCCUUGAUGGAUCUAAGUAUUCGCAAACUGAAUGAAAACGCAUUGUGAAGUUCAUAACCGAUGUUCAGAAAUUAUCUCCAUCCCUUGCCACACCUACUUUUCGCAGCAUCGUAUGAAGUCGUUGAAGACUCUACAUAAUAGAUCCGAUGCACCUUUUCGGUCAUUUCAAGUAUGUUGCAGGCACCCCAAGGACUUAGUAAGGUUUUGCAGUGGCUACUUGCAAGCAAUGUAAAUUCACAACGUUUGUUGACGAACUGCGAGUGAAAGCUCAGGGAACCCUCACGAAGUUGCCAUUCCAACUCAAUUUCCAUGAUAGUCUCGAUCGCCUGUUACACUUGGUUCGGACACCUUGCCACCACCUAAUUCAUGCCUUAAGAGUUACACUUGGGUUGGAACACCAGUUACGCUCUUCUGAGCACAGGAUUUCCGACAGCUGCGAGAGCUCCGUUACGCGAGACGUCUGCUUCCUUCCCAAUCAUUGGUCAUUUUUCUUCUCGUAGGCACUAUGUGAAAACCUUGGGAUUAUUAAGCUUGUUCACAGCACUUGGUUGGGGUCUAAAUGUAAUCACAAACCUGACCAAAAAGUAUAAAUCGAAAAAUUGAUUGCUGAUGAGGUUUCCGGUUCCUGAAAAUAGCUUCUGUUGCGUCCUCUGCAAUGAACGAGAAGAACCGGCAGUGGGUGUAAAAUAAGCCAAACCAAAUUUUUCAACCAGAGGUUCAGGUUGAAUCUUCGGGCAGAUAACCGAUUCUAUACUCUCGAUACCAGUGUAAUAGAACCCGAAGCAAUAAUCGACACAAAGCAUCAAGCUGCCGGUCGAUUACCAAAACAUAAAGCAUCUUGGUUAGUUUCUUCCCGAAAUGUCUGCCAUUCUUCAUGAUUCAGCAAAGUUAAGUCGUCAAUGUCUUCAAGAUCCUCCAAUCAGAGGUGCUGAAGCAGUUGGCGCUGUUUGUCUAGUCAAUUGGCGCUGGUCAGUGUUUACAUUUCUUUAAGGAUUGUAAGCAAGCAAGCUAUAUAUCCGCAGUAUCAAGCGUGCGAAACACUGAAUCAUUCGGAAGUGACAAGACUUUCUUCAUUUUGGCUCAUCUCAAGCACAUUUGAGGAUUAUGAACAGGCUUGGACACUGCAACGCAGAUCCUUGUCUCUGAUGCAGAUGAACGUGGAAGCCAACAGCUGAUAAACUCUCGUCGUCCAGGGGGUGCUUCUCCUUGAGUUCACUCCUCAUCUAGGGUCUGGAUCUGGUGAAGUUGAUCCUCAUUCGGCACUGCAUCACUCUUCAGGGCCUCCAAUCGCUUGCUUGUCGCACGCAGUUGACCUUUCAGGGCUUUCCUUCUGCUCAUGAAAAGAACACUCUUCCUCUGAGGAUGAACCUCCGUUGCUUUUCCAGGAUGAGGCCAACUACUGUCGUCAUAUCCUAUUUUCGGAAAAGGGUAGAAUUUGUCUCACGCGCAGAAUUACCAAACGAUGCAUGAGUAUGCUUAUCUCCAGAAAAUUUCGAUCUUAUCGAUAUCCAGCUCCGCUAAGAGAUUUGAGAGGCAACUGUGAGACUGCUGUGCUGCUGAAGAAACUCGUUGGCGCGUAGCUGCUAUCUACCCGCCCCUCCCCCUCACAAGCGAGACAUCUUCCUCCGCAUUUGCCUAAGACUUCCAAGCCGCGGUGGAACGCCCUUGGCGCAGUUCCCAUCCCGUCACUCGUCCGACUCAUCCGAUCCAUGUACACAACCACUUUCGCGUACUCGCUUCCACCAGGAGUGUCUUCUCAUACACGGCAACCUCCGCAACUUUUACUCGGCGAUGGUCGCCCUCCAAAAACCAAACACCAAAAAAAUUACAAAAUUAUGCAUGCUACGAAAAACUUGUGUUGCUACAGCUGCUCCUCAAGUUCAAGGAGGCCUGAUCGACACAUCCUGUCAUCGACCAUUUCGCAUCUAUCGAUGUCACAUUCGGCUUUCAAAUUCGUCUCCCCUCUCGCUCGCCGAUAUUUCCAUCUUCUAUCACCCUCGGCAACACUCUAGGUUCACCGAUCCACGACUCUAUCUUCAGCUUCAAACGCAAUGACAAUCGCAACUCCUACUCAAGUAGACCAUGCAUGCCACUUCGAGGAUUCAAACCCUCGGCGAUCAACCUGAGCUGUAGAGGAGACCAGGUAGUGCCGAUAGCCAAUACUAUUUUCUACCAAGUGAGGAGGCCUACCAACGUAACAAAGUGUGUUUGUAAUAUCUGACAAAUAUUCAACUGAGUAAUACACAUACCUACUACAUUUCCACUUCUAUAUUUUAGUAAACUGUUGAUCUAACUGAUAAUUGGAUUGUCUCUAUGCUACGGAUAAAAUAUCUGCACUAGUUUUGCGUUUGAGCCAGCCUUUAACCACCAGAAAAUGUGAUGUUGAGUUGUCUAUGCACAAAUCAAAUGGUAGACGUAACAUUUUUAGGGUUGAAUAAACAUCACAAGUUCUGAAUAAAGUAAAUUUUGUAACAUAUUUAGUGUCAAUUGAAAUGAGACAUAGAAGUCUGUAUUUUGCAUUGAUUUUGAAUAAACAAACUCUACUUCAUUUUUGAU